Molecule: ribosomal RNA, 253 nt
Filed under: uncultured bacterium
Lineage: Bacteria
Description: partial 16S ribosomal RNA
Rfam family: Bacterial small subunit ribosomal RNA
Source: RNAcentral
UACAGAGGGUGCAAGCGUUGUUCGGAAUUAUUGGGCGUAAAGCGCGUGUAGGCGGCUUUGCAAGUCGGGUGUGAAAUCCCUCAGCUUAACUGAGGAAGUGCGCCCGAAACUGCAGAACUUGAGUGCCGGAGAGGGUGGCGGAAUUCCUGGUGUAGAGGUGAAAUUCGUAGAUAUCAGGAGGAACACCGGUGGCGAAGGCGGCCACCUGGACGGUUACUGACGCUGAGACGCGAAAGCGUGGGGAGCAAACAGG